CAGCAGUGGGGGAAUUUUCCAGAAUGGGCCCAAGGGGAGGCUAGCCGCGUGAGUGAAGAAGGCCUUUGGGUUGUAAAGCACUGAUCAGCUAACCAAGAAAGGGCCUUCUAACAGGCCUUUUUGGAGGACAGCUCCUCGAAGAGAAGAAAACUACCCUCUAAUAAAGGUG
This 169-nucleotide ribosomal RNA is filed under the name uncultured bacterium. Its description in RNAcentral is "partial 16S ribosomal RNA". The record is from RNAcentral.